AAUGAACGCUGGCGGCGUGGUUAAGACAUGCAAGUCGAACGGUUUUCAUUGAAGGGCAACCGGAUAUGAAAGCAGUGGCGAACGGGUGCGUAACACGUGAACAAUCUACCUCCAAGUGGGGAAUAGCUCGCCGAAAGGCGAAUUAAUACCGCAUGUGGUAGUUUCUCGCAUGAGAGACUUACUAAAGUCAGGGACCGCAAGGCCUGACGCUGGGAGAGGAGUUCGCGGCCUACAGCUAG
Molecule: ribosomal RNA, 239 nt
Filed under: uncultured bacterium
Lineage: Bacteria
Description: partial 16S ribosomal RNA
Rfam family: Bacterial small subunit ribosomal RNA
Source: RNAcentral